CAAAUACUCCCUCUGUCCAGAAAUACUUGUCAUCAAAAUGGAUAAAAAAGGAUGUAUCUAGAUGUAUUUUAGUUCUAGAUACAUCUCUUUUUAUUCAUUUUGAGGACAAGUAUUUUCGGACGGAGGGAGUAGAAA
Non-coding RNA from Triticum aestivum (bread wheat), 135 nucleotides. The record is from Rfam. NCBI's taxonomy places the organism in Eukaryota, Viridiplantae, Streptophyta, Magnoliopsida, Poales, Poaceae.